This is a long non-coding RNA of Haliotis rubra (blacklip abalone), 298 nucleotides long. RefSeq lists it as uncharacterized. The record is from RefSeq and is a predicted model, not a curated record. Lineage: Eukaryota; Metazoa; Mollusca; Gastropoda; Lepetellida; Haliotidae. The transcript has 3 exons.
CUUAAAUCCAGCUGUACAGGCCAGGUACUUAGCAUUUGUACCUCAACGCAAUAGGUACACCAGUAGUCAAGGCCUGCGACUGGAGUUGCAUGGAUGUGAGGCACAACAACCAAUCCCCGUCAGAAGCACCCCUGUCUCCCAGGACAUACAGGGAAGCAAUGAGUGGUUACCCAGCCAGAGUCCAUAUGUCAUCAACACUCUCAUCAGGAUUCGUCCAGGAGCAUUCGUCAAAAUACAGCACGGAGUCAAGGUUAUAUUCAAUUCUUAAGACGCAGGAUUCACCGUUCUUGGUAAGGAU